ACAUGGUCUUUUGUUCAUAUAAAAGAUCUGGCCUGCCCAAUGAUUUUUUAAUGGCUGCAGUAUUUUGACUGUACAAAGGUAGCAUAAUCAUUUGUCUCUUAAUUGGAGUCUGGAAUGAAUGGUCGGAUGAGGGGUUUACUUUCUUUAUUUUAAGUAUAAAAUUUAAUUUUUAAAUCAGAAAGUUUAAAUAUUAAUAUAGGACGAGAAGACCCUAUAGAACUUUAUUUAUAAUAAGUAUUUAUUAUCUUGUAAAUUAUAAAUAUAUAUUUUCAUAUAAAUUUUAUUGGGGUGAUAAAAAAAAUUUUUUAACUUUUUUUAAUUUUUUCAUUUGUAUAUGUAUUUUUGAUCCUUUAUUAAGGAAUAAAAGAAUAAGUUACCUUAGGGAUAACAGCGUUAUUAUUUUAGAGAGUUCAUAUUGAUAAAAUAGUUUGCGACCUCGAUGUUGGAUUAAAAUUAGCUUCAGGGGCAGAAUAUUGGUGGCUAAGUCUGUUCGACUUUUAAAUUUUUACAUGAUCU
This 516-nucleotide ribosomal RNA is filed under the name Spinivesica sp. Msp400. Its description in RNAcentral is "partial large subunit ribosomal RNA". It matches the Rfam family "Bacterial large subunit ribosomal RNA", at positions 1815 to 2606 of the family's 2925-position model. The record is from RNAcentral. Lineage: Eukaryota; Metazoa; Arthropoda; Insecta; Hemiptera; Miridae.